CCCUUAGAUGUUAUGGGCCGCACGCGUGCUACACUGAGUGGAUCAGCGGGUCAGGUUGCGCGAAAGCGUUUCCUAAUCUUUAAAUCCGCUCGUGAUGGGGAUUGACGGUUGCAAUUUUCUGUCAUGAACGAGGAAUACCUUGUAAGCGCGGGUCAUCAUCCCGCGCUGAAUACGUCCCUGCCCUUUGUACACACCGCCCGUCGCUCCUACCGAUUGAGUGGUCCGGUGAGGCUUUGGGAUCUGAGCGGAAAGAGCGUUUCGCUGUUUCUGCUCGGAAAACUCAGUCGAACCUUAUCAUUUAGAGGAAGGAGAAGUCGUAACA
This 322-nucleotide ribosomal RNA is filed under the name uncultured eukaryote. Its description in RNAcentral is "partial 18S ribosomal RNA". It matches the Rfam family "Eukaryotic small subunit ribosomal RNA", at positions 1470 to 1796 of the family's 1831-position model. The record is from RNAcentral.